GACGAACGCUGGCGGCGUGCCUAAUACAUGCAAGUAGAACGCUGAAGGAGGAGCUUGCUUCUCUGGAUGAGUUGCGAACGGGUGAGUAACGCGUAGGUAACCUGCCUGGUAGCGGGGGAUAACUAUUGGAAACGAUAGCUAAUACCGCAUAAUAUUGACUAUUGCAUGAUAGUUGAUUAAAAGGUGCAAUUGCACCACUACCAGAUGGACCUGCGUUGUAUUAGCUAGUUGGUGGGGUAACGGCUCACCAAGGCGACGAUACAUAGCCGACCUGAGAGGGUGAUCGGCCACACUGGGACUGAGACACGGCCCAGACUCCUACGGGAGGCAGCAGUAGGGAAUCUUCGGCAAUGGACGGAAGUCUGACCGAGCAACGCCGCGUGAGUGAAGAAGGUUUUCGGAUCGUAAAGCUCUGUUGUAAGAGAAGAACGAGUGUGAGAGUGGAAAGUUCACACUGUGACGGUAUCUUACCAGAAAGGGACGGCUAACUACGUGCCAGCAGCCGCGGUAAUACGUAGGUCCCGAACGUUUGUCCGGAUUAUUGGGCGUAAAGCGAGCGCAGCGGUAGAUAAUCUGAAUUAAAGGCUGUGCUUAACCAUAUACCUUUGGAACUGUUAACUUGAUGCAAAAGGGAAAUGGAAUUCCUGUGUACCGUGAAAUGCGUCAUAUUGGAGGACACCGGUGC
This 685-nucleotide ribosomal RNA is filed under the name Streptococcus sp. oral taxon 058. RNAcentral's name for it is "bacterial SSU rRNA". It matches the Rfam family "Bacterial small subunit ribosomal RNA", at positions 28 to 715 of the family's 1533-position model. The record is from RNAcentral. Lineage: Bacteria; Bacillati; Bacillota; Bacilli; Lactobacillales; Streptococcaceae.